GGCGCCCCAGAGCGGAAGCCAGAGCUGCUGGGACUGGCUUCUGGGGGAAGGUAGUCGUCUUUGAAGCUGGAAAAACAGAUCCAGAGUGAGACCCGCGAUUCUUCAUUUCUAACAAGUUCCCUGGCAAUGCUGAUGCAGGUUCAAAGACUUACCAGUCAAAGGAAAAUUUGAUGGAGGAGAACUUUUGAGGAUUCCACAUUUAACACAUUGAA
This is a long non-coding RNA of Hyaena hyaena (striped hyena), 212 nucleotides long. RefSeq lists it as uncharacterized. Lineage: Eukaryota; Metazoa; Chordata; Mammalia; Carnivora; Hyaenidae. The record is from RefSeq and is a predicted model, not a curated record. The transcript has 3 exons.